CAGCAGCCGCGGGAAAACGUAGGGUGCGAGCGUUAAUCGGAAUUACUGGGCGUAAGGCGCACGCAGGCGGUUUGUUAAGACAGAUGUGAAAUCCCCGGGCUCAACCUGGGAACUGCAUUUGUGACUGGCAGGCUAGAGUAUGGCAGAGGGGGGUGGAAUUCCGCGUGUAGCAGUGAAAUGCGUAGAUAUGCGGAGGAACACCGAUGGCGAAGGCAGCCCUCUGGGCCAAUACUGACGCUCAUGCACGAAAGCGUGGGGAGCAAACAGGAUUAGAUACCCCUGUAGUCCCUGUCUCUUAUAC
This 301-nucleotide ribosomal RNA is filed under the name uncultured bacterium. RNAcentral describes it as "partial 16S ribosomal RNA". It matches the Rfam family "Bacterial small subunit ribosomal RNA", at positions 509 to 807 of the family's 1533-position model. The record is from RNAcentral.